GACGAACGCUGGCGGCGUGCUUAACACAUGCAAGUCGAACGGAAAGGCCCUGCUUUUGUGGGGUGCUCGAGUGGCGAACGGGUGUGUAACACGUGAGUAACCUGCCCUUGACUUUGUGAUAACUUCAGGAAACUGGGGCUAAUACCGGCUAGGAGCGCCUGCUGCAUGGUGGGGGUUGGAAAGUUUCGGCGGUUGGGGAUGGACUGGCGGCUUAUCAGCUUGUUGGUGGGGUAGUUGCCUACCAAGGCAUUGACGGGUAGCCGGCCUGAGAGGUGGACCGGGGACAUUGGUACUAAGAUAGGGAGCAGAGGCGUACAGGAGGCAAUAGGCGAGAAUCUUGUACAAUGGGGCGACGCGUGUUGAGGAGGUGUUCGGAGUGGGAAGAAGGUCAUCGGGUGGUGAACCGCUUUCGCUUGUGACGAAGCGUGAGUGACGGUAAUGGGUGAAGAAGCACCGGCUAACUACGUG
RNAcentral lists this ribosomal RNA (468 nucleotides) under uncultured bacterium. RNAcentral describes it as "partial 16S ribosomal RNA". It matches the Rfam family "Bacterial small subunit ribosomal RNA", at positions 28 to 507 of the family's 1533-position model. The record is from RNAcentral.